AGAGUUUGAUCAUGGCUCAGGAUGAACGCUGGCGGCGUGCCUAACACAUGCAAGUCGAGCGAUCUUCUUCGGAAGAGAGCGGCGGACGGGUGAGUAACGCGUGGGUAACCUGCCUCAUACACAUGGAUAACAUACCGAAAGGUAUGCUAAUACAAGAUGAUAUAAGAGAUUCGCAUGGAUUUCUUAUCAAAGCUCCGGCGGUAUGAGAUGGACCCGCGUCUGAUUAGCUAGUUGGUAAGGUAACGGCUUACCAAGGCGACGAUCAGUAGCCGACCUGAGAGGGUGAUCGGCCACAUUGGAAAUGAGACACGGUCCAAACUCCUACGGGAGGGCAGCAGUGGGGAAUAUUGCACAAUGGGCGAAAGCCUGAUGCAGCAACGCCGCGUGAGCGAUGAAGGCCUUUCGGGUCGUAAAGCUCUGUCCUCAAGGAAGAUAAUGACGGUACUUGAGGAGGAAGCCCCGGCUAACUACGUGCCAGCAGCCGCGGUAAUACGUAGGGGGCUAGCGUUAUCCGGAUUUACUGGGCGUAAAGGGUGCGUAGGUGGUUUCUUAAGUCAGGAGUGAAAGGCUACGGCUCAACCGUAGUAAGCUCUUGAAACUGGGAAACUUGAGUGCAGGAGAGGAAAGUGGAAUUCCUAGUGUAGCGGUGAAAUGCGUAGAUAUUAGGAGGAACACCAGUAGCGAAGGCGGCUUUCUGGACUGUAACUGACACUGAGGCACGAAAGCGUGGGGAGCAAACAGGAUUAGAUACCCUGGUAGUCCACGCCGUAAACGAUGAGUACUAGGUGUCGGGGGUUACCCCCCUCGGUGCCGCAGCUAACGCAUUAAGUACUCCGCCUGGGGAGUAC
Molecule: ribosomal RNA, 848 nt
Filed under: uncultured bacterium
Lineage: Bacteria
Description: bacterial SSU rRNA
Rfam family: Bacterial small subunit ribosomal RNA
Source: RNAcentral